AAAAAAAAACGCAGCUCUGUGGAUCCUAGUGUGGUCUCUUUGUAUGUCAGUUAGUGAGUAGAAUGUUGAAUGUGAUCAUCUUAAGAUGUUCCAUUUCCUGUACACAGUCGUAACAGGGCAGGGAGGGAGAGCGUGCACAGCAUACAAGUCUUUUCAAGCAGUUGGAUGCUACACCUGUGACCCCAGCCCUGUGACUGCUGUCCAGAAACAAACAUGAAGUCCAAGCGGAUAUUUGCGUCAACUGUCCUACUGACCCAAGUCCUGGAGACAGGUAACUUGAAAUUACCUAUGUUAGCAGCAUUUGUAAAUCAGACUAACAUUUGCGAGAUGGCUCUUGUCUUGAAACGUGCUUCUGGUGGGGUGUCCUCUUAUGAGACAAUCAAAAUACUUGCUGCGGUAAAUUGUGUUUAAUAUUUGGGGGUCCAGGUUUGCGUGACAUGAUUUCUCCCCAAG
Molecule: long non-coding RNA, 453 nt
Filed under: Pelobates cultripes (western spadefoot toad)
Lineage: Eukaryota; Metazoa; Chordata; Amphibia; Anura; Pelobatidae
Source: RNAcentral